UCCUGCAAGUGAAAAAUCAUAUUAAUAUAGCUUCUAAGUUACGACAGUUAGUGGUUACCAAAUACUUUAGUACGAUAUUUUUUAAGUUACAGCUGCUCAAUUUCAAUACGAAACACACCCUUAAUUAUAGAUGGGUGCCAUAAUUUGAAACAUAUGGUCAACAAGUCAAGAUUGCACCAAAAAUAAAAACAAAAACAAAAAAUGUAUACUGUUCCACCAAACAUAAAUUAAAUUUAAUCAACCCAUCAAUUUCUCUGGUAAAACAUGUGAAUGUCUUCUAGGAAAUUGAAUAGAUAUGAUAGCAAGUUAGCACCAGAUCAAUAAUUGUAAGGUAUGUUAUAACACUUUUCUCAAGGGUUUUUAUUUUCGCUCACUCUCACAGUGUUUUGUUUUUAUAAUAUCACAAAUUAUCUCAAGAAUACGAGAAAACCAACAUAAU
This 439-nucleotide long non-coding RNA is filed under the name Citrus x clementina. RNAcentral's name for it is "Citrus clementina (C. clementina) long non-coding RNA (CCLE_LNC001863)". The record is from RNAcentral. Lineage: Eukaryota; Viridiplantae; Streptophyta; Magnoliopsida; Sapindales; Rutaceae.